CUUCAUGUGCAUUGGAUCCAGGGUUGGGAAGUAGGGGUGCAGUAACGCCCCCUGCCUCAGCUCCUCCACAAUGAAAAUAUUGAGUAAAAUAUCAGGGGUUGUCUGAUCAUAUAACCUAAUAAAUACACAUUUGUCAAAAGAAAUGUGAGUGUAUUUUUUGCUUGACCUUGUUUCUGUCAGAUAUUCACAUAGCGUACCAUUAGUCAGUGGGAUGUGCGAGCGCCGUCAAUUACUCACUUUUGGCCUCGGUUGUAAGUUUUACACCCAAGCGUUCCGAAAUGAACGUCAUGUGUAAAGGACAUCUCACACCCGUGUCCGGCGUCACCCUGUUACACCAGUGAUGGACCUGGGAUAUUUCUCAGUGUGACCAGGCCAUAAUAAUGAAUUGGACAAAACAGAAUUGGAGAAAAACAGUCAAUCAGUUAGAAGAUGGAGUCCUGCCAUAGGUAUUUUUGUCCUGUAAAAUGUAUUAGUCUUCGUCUGGUAUGUUCAGACAAAGGUGGACCUUAAUUUGUGAGGUAAAAUGUAUGAUGGGAAAUAGACUGUAUUUUAAUGAGAAUUUCCCUGCUACAUUAGUUGAAUUAUUUUUAUGUGGACCAGCCUUUUUGCUUAGUCUUUCAGAUCUAACGGCCAGAGGAUCAUACAGGCAGUGGCGAAACGUGACUAUUGGAGCCCUCAGUAGCAGAAACAGAUCUGACGUCAUACAUACAGAUAGAGAAUUCAGAUGCCUGUGUAUACAGAGCAUGACUUGAGACCUUUAUUUUGCAGACCUAUAUAGGAGGAGUAAUUACUUGACUCAAACGGACAUAAGCGACGCACUGGCUGUGGCUCACAGAAGCAGCAAACAUAAACAGUUGCAAAUAUCGAUAGCAGGAGCCACGUUAGAAGUAAAUAAGUUUGUGUCGUUUCAAAGAAACAUUUGCCAAAACAGUCACUCAAAUAGAGGAAGAAUAAAUCCAACCACACCACUACUCACGUUGUUUUAAGACCACGGACAGUUUAUGCUGUCAUAGAGAAAAAUGUUGCGCUGUAUUCGAGGUCCAGCAUGCAAAAAAGCACCACAAGAAAUGUAAUGUACCCAGUAGUUCCUAUUGCAACAUCCUCACCAGUGAUCUAAACUUGGAAUAAUAUUUUACACAUUCUAUUCAAAAUGAUAUGAACGAGACAGCAAAAAAGCAAGCUGUAGAUGAAAACAAAACGUUCACUCACCAUUACGAUUAUCAUUUUAAAACAAGGUCCAUUUUCCUGUCCUUCAUGAAAUGGAUAAUGUCAGGUUCAUGUAGCAGGUCUUUAGAUUCUAAAUCCGAAAUAACUUCUUUUUUGAUUGAGUUCAAAGCCACAGCUGACAGCCGGGCCAUCGCCAUCCUUAUGUGCACUCAUGCUUGAACCUAGCAAAACUUGCCAGCUAGCGUUAGAAAACAAGAUAAGGCUCGCUAUUGGCUCUGAAUUAGUGAUGUGUACUUAGGCCCUCUAGAGGGCCUUGAGGUAUCAUAGGGGGCCUUGAGGUAUCCACCAAUUGCCAGACAAUUUGCGAUAGGUUGAUUCUACUGUCAAUCCAAAAUUCUGCUCUAAUUGCAGUCAAUGUCAAUGACAUUGGCUGGUGCCUUCUAUUCAAAGCAAGUUAUAAUAUAUAAAAUUAUAUACAGAUUUGUAUCUAUCCUUAGGUCCCAGCUCUCUUCAGGUCAUUGACCAGGUCCUACCGUGUAGUUCUGGGCUGAUCCCUCACCUUCCUCAUGAUCAUUGAUGCCCCGCAAGGUGAGAUCUUGCAUGGUGCCCCAGACCGAGGGAGAUCGACCGUCAUCUUGAACUUCUUCCAUUUUCUAAUAAUUGCGCCAACGUUGUUGCCUUCUAACCAAGCUGCUUGCCUAUUGUCCUGUAGCUGUUAUGGAAAUUUUGAACUAAGGUGCAUUUGAGAAAUGUCUGUCUUUCCAUUGGCUGAUAUGUAAAUCUGUACUUUGAUUGUGACACA
Long non-coding RNA from Esox lucius (northern pike), 1969 nucleotides. Lineage: Eukaryota; Metazoa; Chordata; Actinopteri; Esociformes; Esocidae. The record is from Ensembl.